GUUAGGAAUAUUGGACAAUGGGCGCAAGCCUGAUCCAGCCAUGCCGCGUGAGUGAUGAAGGUCUUCGGGUUGUAAAGCUCUUUAGUCCACGAAUAUAAUGACUGUAGUGGAAGAAUAAGCCCCGGCUAACUUCGUGCCAGCAGCCGCGGUAAUACGUAGGGGGCGAGCGUUAUUCGGAAUCACUGGGCGUAAAGCGUGCGUAGGCUGUUUUGUAAGUCAGAAGUGAAAGCCCAGGGCUUAACCCUGGAAUUGCUUUUGAAACUACAAGACUCGAAUUCGGGAGAGGAUAGCGGAAUUGUCAGUGUAGCAGUGAAAUGCGUAGAUAUUGACAGGAACACCAGUGGCGCAAGCGGCUAUCUGGACCGAUAUUGACGCUGAGGCACGAAAGCGUGGGGAGCAAACAGGAUUAGAAACCCUGGUAGUCC
This 425-nucleotide ribosomal RNA is filed under the name uncultured bacterium. Its description in RNAcentral is "partial 16S ribosomal RNA". It matches the Rfam family "Bacterial small subunit ribosomal RNA", at positions 354 to 796 of the family's 1533-position model. The record is from RNAcentral.